AGGAGCUGAAUGGCCUCAGCCUUGGCCUUAGCUCUAACCAACAUGGCAUUGGCUUCUCCAGCAGCUUUGUUGAUUUGUUCAGCUUUCUCUGCUUCUGAUGCCAAGAUUUGGGCCUGCUUCUGCCCCUCAGCCACGUUGAUAGCAGACUCCCGUGUCCCCUCUGAUUCCAGCACUGUUGCCCGCUUCCGUCGCUCUGCCUCCACCUGCAUCUGCAUAGAUUCCUUCACGCGUGGGGGCACGUGGAUGUCCUUAAUCUCAUAGCGUAGGCACCGGAUACCCCAGCAGUCUGAGGCUUGGUUGAUGGCAUCCACUAUGUUGGCAUUGAGAGACUCCCGUUCCCGGAAGACUCUAUCAAGGGAAAGUUUGCCAAGCUCAGAUCUCAUGGUGGUCUGGGCCAACUGGGUCACAGCAUACUCAGGAUCCUCCACCCCAUAGCUGGCCUUGUAGGGAUCCAUGACACGCAGAUAGAGCACUCCAUCAAUCUGCAAGGUGACAUUAUCUAGGGUGACAGCUGACUGCUCUGGGACAUUGAUGACGAUUUCUUUGAGACUCUGCACAUAACGAAUCCGAUCCAGCAGAGGGAUGAGGAAAUUCAAACCAGGCUCGAGGAUCCGGUGGAACUUGCCCAUCCUCUCCACCACCCAGGCCUCCUG
Molecule: long non-coding RNA, 653 nt
Filed under: Gallus gallus (chicken)
Lineage: Eukaryota; Metazoa; Chordata; Aves; Galliformes; Phasianidae
Source: RNAcentral